Molecule: ribosomal RNA, 771 nt
Filed under: uncultured organism
Description: partial 16S ribosomal RNA
Rfam family: Bacterial small subunit ribosomal RNA
Source: RNAcentral
UUGAGUUUGAUAGAAGAUAGCAGAAUUUCACAAGGAGGGGUGAUAUCCAGAGAUCUGUGAAGGAAUAUCAGAUGCGAAGGCGGCUAUCUAGAUCAACACUGUCGUUGAGGGACGAAAGCAUGGGGAGCAAACAGGAUUAGAUACCCUGGUAGUCCAUGCCCUAAAAGAUGAGUGUUCGUGCUUAGAGAACUUUAGGCACUUAGUUAACACGUUAAACACUCCGCCUGGGGAGUACGAUCGCAAGGUUGGAACUCAAAGGAAUUGACGGGGGCCUAUACAAGUGGUGGAGCAUGUGGUUUAAUGCGAUAAUACGCGCGAAACCUUACCAGUUCUUGACAUAAAAAAGAAAAAGUUUGAAAAAGCAAUUUUAAAGAUUUUUACAGGUGCUGCAUGGCUGUCGUAAGCUCGUGUCGUGAGAUGUUAGGUUAACUCCUUUUAACGGGCGAAACCCCUUUUUUUCGUUGCUACUUAAUUUUAUUUUUAAAGCACUCUAAAAAAACUGCUCCCUUUUUUUAAUUCGGAGAGGAAGGUGGGGAUGACGUCAAGUCCUUAUGGCCCUUAUGAACUGGGCUACACACGUGCUACAAUGGUAAAGACAAUAAGAAGUGAUAGGGUAACCUAAAACCAAUCUUUAAACUUUAUCAAAGUUCGGAUUGUGGACUGCAACUCGUCCAUAUGAAGGUGGAAUCACUAGUAAUCGCACAUCAGCAUGUUGCGGUGAAUUUGUACCUAGGCCUUGUACACACCGCCCGUCACGUGCCGGGAGUUGGC